RNAcentral lists this ribosomal RNA (482 nucleotides) under uncultured Clostridia bacterium. RNAcentral describes it as "bacterial SSU rRNA". It matches the Rfam family "Bacterial small subunit ribosomal RNA", at positions 907 to 1392 of the family's 1533-position model. Lineage: Bacteria; Bacillati; Bacillota; Clostridia. The record is from RNAcentral.
GAAUUGACGGGGGCCCGCACAAGCGGUGGAGCAUGUGGUUUAAUUCGAAGCAACGCGAAGAACCUUACCAGGUCUUGACAUCCCUGGACAGCUGUGGAAACACAGUUUCCCUUCGGGGCCAGGAGACAGGUGGUGCAUGGUUGUCGUCAGCUCGUGUCGUGAGAUGUUGGGUUAAGUCCCGCAACGAGCGCAACCCUUGCCUUUAGUUGCCAUCAUUAAGUUGGGGACUCUAAAGGGACUGCCGGUGACAAAUCGGAGGAAGGUGGGGAUGACGUCAAAUCAUCAUGCCCCUUAUGAUCUGGGCUACACACGUGCUACAAUGGGUGGUACAGAGGGAAGCGAAGCCGUGAGGCGGAGCGAAUCCCAGAAAGCCACUCUCAGUUCGGAUUGCAGGCUGCAACUCGCCUGCAUGAAGUCGGAAUCGCUAGUAAUCGCAGGUCAGCAUACUGCGGUGAAUACGUUCCCGGGCCUUGUACACACCG